RNAcentral lists this ribosomal RNA (253 nucleotides) under uncultured bacterium. RNAcentral's name for it is "partial 16S ribosomal RNA". It matches the Rfam family "Bacterial small subunit ribosomal RNA", at positions 524 to 776 of the family's 1533-position model. The record is from RNAcentral.
UACGUAGGGACCAAGCGUUGUUCGGAUUUACUGGGCGUAAAGGGCGCGUAGGCGGCAUGACAAGUCACUUGUGAAAUCUCCGGGCUUAACUCGGAACGGUCAACUGAUACUGUGCGGCUAGAGUGCGGAAGGGGCAACUGGAAUUCUUGGUGUAGCGGUGAAAUGCGUAGAUAUCAAGAGGAACACCUGCGGCGAAGGCGGGUUGCUGGGCCGACACUGACGCUGAUGCGCGAAAGCCAGGGGAGCGAACGGG